RNAcentral lists this ribosomal RNA (67 nucleotides) under Macrosporia nanlingensis. RNAcentral describes it as "Perenniporia nanlingensis partial 28S ribosomal RNA". Lineage: Eukaryota; Fungi; Basidiomycota; Agaricomycetes; Polyporales; Polyporaceae. The record is from RNAcentral.
AUGACCUCUGACCUCAAAUCAGGUAGGACUACCCGCUGAACUUAAGCAUAUCAAAAGCGGGAGGAAU